This 72-nucleotide transfer RNA is filed under the name Cordylochernes scorpioides. RNAcentral describes it as "tRNA-Ala". The record is from RNAcentral. Lineage: Eukaryota; Metazoa; Arthropoda; Arachnida; Pseudoscorpiones; Chernetidae.
UGGAGAUGCCGGGGAUUGAACCCAGGGCCUCUCACAUGCAAAGCGAGUGCUCUACCACUGAGCUACAUCCUC